GAGAGUUUAGUUAAUCAAUAACAUUGGCUUGUCAAGCUAAAAUAAAUGCUAGAUAUUAACUUUCA
This 65-nucleotide transfer RNA is filed under the name Meloe poggii. Its description in RNAcentral is "tRNA-Asp". It matches the Rfam family "tRNA". Rfam says of the family: Transfer RNA (tRNA) molecules are approximately 80 nucleotides in length. Lineage: Eukaryota; Metazoa; Arthropoda; Insecta; Coleoptera; Meloidae. The record is from RNAcentral.